GUGUUUAGGUUUGUUAAUUUUGCCAGUUAUUCCCUUUGAUUAAAGAAUUAAUUGACCAAACCAGUUUGAUUAAAGAAGCAAGAGUAGAUAAUAACUAAAUCAUUAAAACCAUUAUCUUCAUCAUCUUGUUCAUUUUUCUUGUUGUCUAUUCAUCUUUUCCUUACAAUCUUUUUUUUCAGAAGCUUCUUGAUCAUUUUGUAUUGCUCUUCAUGUGAAUAUCAUGUUAUCAACUCCGCCUGCGUCAACAAUACAGAACUAUCAAAUGAUAAUAAUCACAUGUAUAAUAGUUUUGUAGGAGGAGAUGGAUUUGCUGCUAAUAAUAUUAUUAUUAGCAACAUUUCACAACACAUGAUCAUUGUGUUAAGCCAGAUGACCUGAUACAGAUACAAUUGAAAAUGAUUUGGAUUUGCGUUUCCUCCUAGCUUAUUUUGAUGGGUUUUCAAUAACGAUUCAUGAAAGUCACAAACUCCGAGAAGGUGUGACCCAAGUAUUUAAUAAAUCAAUUUCAGAAAGAUUCAAUGAAGAUGGAGAUGAAGAGAAAUCAAGGAAAGAGGAGCCAAAAAGAAGGAGCCAAGGAAAGGAACCAGUGAAAGGAGCUUCAAGUUGCAAGAGAAAGAAAGAGAUGUUGAAGGAGCUAGAAGAGGCAAUAAGUAAAAAUCAGUCAAGAUACAUGAAAAUAACAGGAAAAUACAUAAUAUUUUGUAAUGGAGCGAGAAAAGAGAGAGAGAGAAGAUGAAGAUGAAAUGAUCUUUCUCUCUCUUUCUACUUUUUCUUCUCUCGAAGUUUUAGCCCUAAGGCAUUUUCCCACCGAAAGCCGAAGUUUCGAUGAUAUCAUUAGCGUUUAUUUAACAUAUCUUUUCCUUUAAAAUCAAACCUCUUCAAGGUGGCUCUUUCUCCUUCUCUUUCUCUUCUUGCUAAUCAACUUAGCAAACUCAAAUUAUAUCAGGAAGAAGUAUUAACAUUAACUGUCUUGCAACCAUUAGUUAUACCCAAUUGAAGCAAUAAUCAACAACGAAAUGACCACUCUUCUAAAUCAACUGAUCAAACAAGUCUCGAAUCUCUAAUCAUAUUGUUUGCUUGAUUCCUGCUGAUUAACACUGAUUUGAGCCACAUUUUGUGACAUUUACCUGAUAAUUAUCUGCACUUAUAAUAUUACAUCUCGUACUGCACCCAAACUUGAUUUAAAGUGAACCAAGAAUGUCAGUAAAACAUCAGAGUAAUCAUUAAAUCACAGUAAUUUGUAAUUGAAGGGUGAACGUUAAACACAUUUGCAUUAACUUAUUACUUGCAAUAAACGUUUAGACUUGA
Non-coding RNA from Tetranychus urticae (two-spotted spider mite), 1308 nucleotides. NCBI's taxonomy places the organism in Eukaryota, Metazoa, Arthropoda, Arachnida, Trombidiformes, Tetranychidae. The record is from RefSeq and is a predicted model, not a curated record.